RNAcentral lists this transfer RNA (70 nucleotides) under Candidatus Heimdallarchaeota archaeon B3_Heim. RNAcentral describes it as "Candidatus Heimdallarchaeota archaeon B3-JM-08 tRNA-Ser". It matches the Rfam family "tRNA". Rfam says of the family: Transfer RNA (tRNA) molecules are approximately 80 nucleotides in length. Their secondary structure includes four short double-helical elements and three loops (D, anti-codon, and T loops). Lineage: Archaea; Promethearchaeati; Candidatus Heimdallarchaeota. The record is from RNAcentral.
GAAGCUGUAGUUUAGUGGCAGAACACCCUCCUUGAGAGGGGGGGCGUGGGUUCAAAUCCCACCAGCUUCA